This is a long non-coding RNA of Hemibagrus wyckioides, 2021 nucleotides long. RefSeq lists it as uncharacterized. The transcript has 2 exons. The record is from RefSeq and is a predicted model, not a curated record. NCBI's taxonomy places the organism in Eukaryota, Metazoa, Chordata, Actinopteri, Siluriformes, Bagridae.
CUUUCAGCUUUAUUUCAGUAACUGAUUGUCCAUUACAGCUGCACAUGUAGGAGCCGGCAUCAUUGUAGGCUACUGAACUGAUGGUCAGGGAGAAAUCCCCUCUGCUUGUAUCUCCUGACACUGAAUAUCUGCUUUAUGAAUGCUGUUGUUUGGGACACAUCCCACUCGGAGCAACGAUGGCUCUUUUAGGAAUGAAGCGGAUCCACCGAACCUCUGGACAAUUUCCUGAGCAACUACAUGGGAGGGUCAGGGGUUUAUUCACCAUCGACUCUCUGAAGAUGAAGGCUUGGCACUGCUCCAUCAGCAGGGCUACAACAAUUCACAACCAACAACAGCGCUCAAGUUUCAGUACUGCAUGUGCUACUAGGAUUGUUCAUCUGUGGAGGGAUCAUCAGCCUGAUCAUUUACACUGUGAAAACAUGCAGAGACCGAUCCAGAUGUAAUCCACGACUGCGGGAUGUUUAGCUUCUAUUUUGUUGUUUUAUUGUCCUGUGUUUUUAUUGUCCUGUACUCAUCUCAUACUGUUCUGUAUUUGCAAUUUAUGCAAUCUUAUGUACUUUCCAAGUAAGAGUCAGAUUUACAAAUAUAUUUGUAAUAUAAUUAUUUGUAAUAAUUCAAUAGAGAAGAUUAAAUUUACAAGUCAACUGGCUGCUUACACAUUGAUUACUGGUUAUUUAUUACCUUUUAUGAAGGUAUAUUAUUUUGACUCGAUUCCAGACAGUUGAGAUUCAAGAGUCGACUCUGAAAAACCUCACUGUUUACACAGAAAAUCUCAACCAGGUGCCAAUCAUCGAUAACUGUAUGAUCAAAUCACCUUGAUAAAGAUAUGCAUACGGAUGUCUGAUUUAAAAACAAUUAAAAUACGUGACAAGAAUUCAUAAACCAUUACAGUUAGUAGUUAAGUUUAAAAGACAUAACAUCCAGAACAUAACAGUUAGAAGCUGUAUUAUAGCCUACGUGUAUUUAAUUAAUAUUACACUGUUUAUUUUAUUAUAUCUCGUUUCCUGUCUUUCCAUAAAUUAUUGUGCAGAAUCAACUCAAUUGAUUCAUAUUCACUCUAAUCAGAAUCGAAGUGAAGUCCAGAAUUUUUCAUUUUGAGCAGCCUAGAUCAGGUACAAUGUCAUUAGAGUAUGUGGUCAGUUUGUAAAAAAUAUUCUUUGUGUUGUCUUUUCUUUUGCAAGACGGUUGUCAAGAAGUGAAACUACUUAAUCCCUGAGCAAUGUACGAAUGAAGCCAACUAGUUGAUGUGAAGCGUAGACCUCAAAAAGGAUUCGAUUCUCUUGAUCUUUGACUCUUUGAUGCUUUCAUUUUGUCCUGACUCGAUCUCAGGUAGUUCUGGUCUUGGACUUACUUUCUACAAUUGCGUUCUUGAUGACAGAUAAAAUAAAAUAAAAAAAACAUUUUAAAUACAAACUCUAAACAACACCAUAAUAUAGAUCUUGUGGUACUAUUGGCUGAAUUUCAUAUACAGAGAUCUGAAAUUUGUAACACAAAAACCUUUAGAGAAGCUGGAUAAAGUGGGAUGUUUUAUUCAAUUUUGUUAGAAAACACUCAUUAAUUAUCUUUCAGUCUUCUGUGACCUGAACACGGUAUGAACACAAAGGAAAUAAAGCACAAAACAACAAGGCAGGUUAAUGUCCUGGGAUGAAUUUAUCAUGUGAUAAUGUAACUGUCAGGAACAGCUGGACAGUUCCCUGCCAGGCCCAGAGAGGGCGCUGGAAGGUGAACCUUGGAAGCCUGCUUCUUUGUGUAUCUCUUGUUACGCCCUUCCUAUUGUUCCUAUCCUGAUUGUCACCUGUAUCCCAUUAGCCCUAAUGUCUACCCCUAUAAAUAGGGAUCCUUGUGUUUGUGUCUUUGUCCAUGAUUGUUAUCUGUAGCGUGGUUUCUGUUGGGCUUUUGUUUGCUAGGUUCCGUGUCCAAGCUAAGGUCUAGGUUUUGUUUAGUUAUCCACGCCAUGUCUUGUGUUACGUUUGUUUCCCUAUGUCGCGUCUUAAAUGUAAUAAAAGCAGUGCUUCGCUGAA